Molecule: ribosomal RNA, 205 nt
Filed under: uncultured bacterium
Lineage: Bacteria
Description: partial 16S ribosomal RNA
Rfam family: Bacterial small subunit ribosomal RNA
Source: RNAcentral
GAUGAACGCUGACAGAAUGCUUAACACAUGCAAGUCGAUUCGAUUUACCUUCGGGUAUUGAGGAUGGCGGACGGGUGAGUAACGCGUAAGGAACUUGCCUCUUGGGACUGGGACAACUGUUGGAAACGGACAGCGUAAAUACCGGAUAUUAUGAGAUUCUCGCAUGGGAAAACUUAGUGAAAGCGUAUAUGCGCCAAAGAGAGAG